Molecule: long non-coding RNA, 5688 nt
Organism: Sciurus carolinensis (gray squirrel)
Lineage: Eukaryota; Metazoa; Chordata; Mammalia; Rodentia; Sciuridae
Exons: 4
Source: RefSeq, a predicted model, not a curated record
AGGAAGGGAAAGAGGGCGGGCCAGCGGUUCGAGCCGCCAGGGCGUCCGCUUGGCGGUCUUGCUGCGAGGGAAGCCGGGUCCCUGGCCGGGGCCGGGCGCGAGGCUGUGGGCGACUUGCUUUUCAGUGUAGCUCGCGCCGGAGGAGCCCACGUGCCGCCCAGGGUUUAGCCGCCGCGAUGAGAGGGGCGGGUUCCGCGCUGGCCGCGCCGGUUAGGCGCCUCCUCUUUCCUGUCUCGUGAGGCUCGGGCCUAACCGGUGGCUUUCCGCUGCCGGACUGGAGAUGUGCUGGCGACCGUGACCUGGGGUCAACCACCUUGGUCUUCUGUUUGCUUCGUGGUACAGCUGGAGGCACCACUCUCUCCGGGAAAGGGCGAACUCUGUUGGAGAAACUGUUCAGCCAGCAAGAGAACGGGCCUCCAGAAGCAGAGAAAUUUUGCUUAUGGAUCAUUGCCAUGGGUCUUCUACUUCCUUUUAGUGACUGCUUCAGGGAACCAUGUCAUCAGAAUGCCCAGUCAAGUUCUGCUCCAUUUGAUUGCUGGUGAUUAAACCCAGUGGUGCUCCACCGAACUAUAUAUCCUCAGCACCCCAUCACCCCCCACCCCUUUUUUUGGAGACAAGUGGGAGUGUGGGAGGAGGAAGCUGUUCACCUCUUGGAAGCCAAGAACAGAGGGAGAGAAAGGGGCCAGGAUCACACCACCCCCUGAAGGGCGAGCCUGCAGUGCCUGACUCUCUUCCCUUAGGCCUACCUCCUAAGGGCCUGCCACAGCCUGGAAACCAUAGGCCACAAGACCAACGUUUGAGAUCCAAACCAUAACGGUGAUGAUCCUGAUAGAAAAGAAAUGAUGCCUGCUGUGGUUUUGAUGUGCACUUCUCUAAUGGCUAGUGAUUGUAAAUAUCUGUUCAUGUAAUAAUUGAUCUUCUUUGGGGAAACUUACAUUAUUUUUAAAGGCCCACCAAAACUUUGAUCUAAUUAUUAAGAUUAUCACCUGCCGUCCAAUCUGAUAUGACCAAUCUCAACUCCAAGGCAGUUUUUAUUUUAUUUGUUUGGUGCUGGGGUUGAAACCAGGUCCUCAGACUUGCUACACAUAUUCUCUACCACUGAACUAUUCCCCAGCCCCAGUAGCAAAGUUUUAAUAGAUUCUUUUUUUAAAAGUUUUCUAAUUGUCAAUGGACCUUUAUUUUAUUUAUUUAUUUUUAUGUGGUGCUGAGAAUUGAACCCAGUACCUCACACAUGCUAGGCAAGCACUCUACCACUGAGCCACAACCCCAGCCCCUUUAUAGAUUUUUAUUUGUAGCUUACUGCAAAUGGUAAUAUAUUUAAUACAUGGCAAGUUAAUGAUAGAAUUGUGCAUCAGAAUAGUCUAACAUUGCCAUAAUGGUGUAAAAUAUGAGUUAAAAUGGAAAGAAUGGGAAUGUUCAAGGUAAAAAUAUAAUUUUACCAUUGACUUAAACUAAUCAGUUGCACACGGAUAAAAUGGGAAGAUCUAAUUUGACCUCAGUAAUAAUAAAUGCUCAAGUUUAAUUGGAAUGCAUGUUGAAUUAGGCCAACUGUAUGGUUUAGUCUAUUUUCAGAAUUUCACUGCAGUUUGCACUAAUAAACAUACAGCUACUCUAUCACCAAAAAUGAGAAAUUAAUGCAUUCUGUAUCAAUAUUUUAUAAACGUUCCUGGUAGCAUACUUUAAGAGGACUACUGACAACUGAGUUUUAAAAAGUGGAACUACAAAUGUAGUAAAGGUUCUGGGAAUCUUGUCCAAAGAGGAAUAUAUUUAGUGUGAAAAGGAAAGGCUGAGGAGAUGUAUGACCCCUGACUUCAAAUGUUAAACCUAAAAAAUACAUUUCUAGGCUACUUUUAUUUAAAAUGUUUCAUUUUGUAAUAAUUUCAUUCUUUAAAAAAUAGCACAGAUAAUAGGGUGCUGGUGUAUUAUUCACCUAGCUUUCCCAAAUGCCUUUCCUAACCUUAGUAAAAUUAUCAAAACCAGGAAAUUGACACUAAUUCAAUACUAUUAACUUAUGUAUAGUUAUUAUUCAAGUUUUGCCAAUAUCCCCUUAACUUCCAUUUCCUGGUCCAGAAUCACACACUUAGUUGUCUUAUCUCAUUAAUGUUCCCCUCUCUGGGAUAGUACCUUAAUUUUUGUCUUUCUUGAUCUUGAUCCUUUUUAUGAGUACUGGACAGUUAUUUUAGAAUGUCUUUCAAUUUGGAUUUGUCUAAAAGUUCUUCAUGAGCUGGGUUUGGUGGGUACACCCAUAAUCCCAGCUGUUGAGGAAACUGAGACAGGAAGAUUGCUUAAGUCUAUGAGUGGGAUGCCAGCCUGGGCAACAUGGCAAGGUUUGUCUCAGGAAAAAAAAAAAUUUCCUUUAUGACUAAAUUCGGGAGAUGAUGCUCAUCACAAAUACCAUGAAAAUGAUGUGGCCUUUAACAAUAUAUCUCAUCACAGAUGAUAUUAACUUUGAUUACUUGAUUAAAUGUCUGCCAUUUUUUCAUUUUUUUAUCUUUACUGUAAAAUUAAUAUUUGGAGUGUUUCUGUUUUUGUUUUCCAUAUGGAAAGUACUUUCAGACUUUGCAAAUAUCCUAUUUCUCAUAAUACUCUUACCCAGUGAUUUUAGCAGCCCUCAAUGAUUUUUGCCUAUAAGCAUUACUGGCAUGAUAUUUGUCAAAUGGUGAUGUUUCUAUUUUCAUUAUUCAAUGUUGUUAGUUGGAAUUCUGUAAGGGAUGAGAUGUCCUUUCUGACUCUUUAGUCAUUUACUUAUAUCAGGAUGAACUUAAGAAUUUUUAUUUUACUCAGUGGAUUUUCCUCCACUUCUGUCAUUGUUGUGUUCCUCAUACCAACUACAUUUGACCUCUGCAAACUCCUUCACCUUGGCUUCUGUGUCCUUUGUCUUAUCGCUAUUAUAUUUCAGGGUAUUUUCUUUUUUCUGUCACCAUAAGAUGUUCUGGAUUCAUAUUGUAUUUCAUUGCCCUUGCUCUGGAUUCAGUCAUUUUUCUGAAGAUAUCUGGUUCUUUUUAUUGGAGAAUAAUUAGUUUAGGUAUCAAAAUACAGGCACUAAAUGUGCUUAAGUCUCUGAAGUGCCUUUUCAUAUUCUCAAAGGACAGAACUAGGAAAUAUAUAUUAUAGUUUGAUAUCUAGAUUUGUGUGUAUUUUUGUUUACUGCUAUUCAGUAACUAGCACAAGUUGAGCACAAGAUAUAUAUAUAGAAGGGAUUCUCACUUGGUAGAAAAUUAGACUAGAUAACCUAGGGACUCUCCAAUCUCAUAAAUCUGUUAUGUUCUGAUUCUGAGAAAGAUAAGCUGGAGAAUUAUACCAAAUAAACAUACUCUCUGUAAUGUUCAUAAUAAGAAAAAUGCAAAAAUCUUGGGAGCAGAAAGCUUUAAUUAUCAAAACCAGUGAAGGGAGUUAAAGGCCUUAAAGUUCUUUUAUUCAUUUUGACGUGACUUGCAGAAGGCUUCAUCAGUAAACCUAUGGUGAAAAAAGAAAAAAAGCAAAUGAGGAUAUUUCCUUUCCUGGUGUUCUAACAUAAAUAUGCUUUCUAUCCAUUAUUUUUUACUUUACAUAGAAGUGAUAUAAGAACAGUGUUUCUGCUAUAAUACCACAUGUACUUUAUAUUCUGCAAAAUAGAAGCCAGAAAAAGUAGACUAGGUUAGAGCCUUCUAAAUUUAUGGAAUUUUAUAAGUACUAACAGAAAAAGCAGCACUCUAAAUAAUUAAUUAAAUCUGCAUCAGCAUUUCCAUCUACUCUCAUAGUCAGUUCCUAAAAUCCUUUAAAAUCUAGUGUUUAUGCUUCUUAUAUUAGAGAUAUUAGCUUUUAGUUCAUUUGAAUAAAAAUUCAACAUAUUAUCCAGAGUACAGUGCUUUCCCCUAUGUAGCUUCUUCAGCAGCUCUACUCAUGAACUUGUUAGAUAGUUCUCCAUCAUGGGAACCAUAGAAGUUCUUCUUGAAGCCACUAAACCAGUUACUACUUAGAUUAAUGGAAGGCACUUCUGUAGACUUUUAACCAUUUUUUAUAAAGGUGUUCAUGUAUUGCUAAGACUUUGUUCUUAAAUUGCAAGAAAGCUUGUCUUUGAUUUUUAAGAAAAUGAAUGUACUGGGGGAAAACAGUCAAGUUGGAUUCAUACAAUUUCUGCAUUAUAAGGACAUCAUUCCACUGUUUACUAUUAUUUAUGUAUAAGAUAUAUCUUUAUGUUAAAGAAGCACAUGCUGUAGCAGUAAUCAACCAACAAUAUGCUGAGUGAUUGCUAGUAUGUGUACAUCUCAGUGACUAUGUUUAACCAGAGUUGAUAUUUUGUACAUGUGUAUUUUUAUAGUCUUAUAUGUUUUUGAUAACACUGUAUACACAUAUCACUUGUUGAAUUUGAAUAAAUGGUGGUUUCAUGAAGUAUUUUAGACUUUGGGUCUCACAGAGGCUCUUUUCAGUAGUAGUAGUUUUGUGUAGAGUUCUACAGUCUUUUAAACUCUUUCCCUUUUAUUCCUAUGCCUUUAUCCAUUCUGAGUCCCCAACUGUGGGGUAGGUUUCAUAAAAUCUUUUGAAGAAACACACGAUUCCUGCUCUUUACAGGUAGGAAAUAAAUUGGAAGCAUUAUAAGACAAAACAUAAUCAAUUGAUAGACUGCUGUACGUGGUUGUAAAUACUAGGCUUGCUUGUGCUGUCUCCUAGCAUUGCCCAAGUUUUCAAAAAGCACUUCCAGUUUAAGAUGUUGCUGAUCUCCCCUGUCAUAUCAAGUUGUGAACUGAUCUUUUCCCUUGCUGACUUUCCCACUUGACUGAAAGGAAAGGAUUCUAUAAAUUUACUUUAUCAGUGCAUGGUUUCUAUAUUUGGAGUUACCCCGAAAGCUCAAUUCAAGAAAGUUUAGUGAUAAAAUGAUCAGGUUGUAAGAAGUUUAAUCUAAUCAGUGUAUUAAUGCCCUGAUAGGAAUUAACGUGGUAAUAACUGUAGGCAUGUAUGGUAUGGCUGGAGGAGGUGGGUCCCUGCGGGCGUGUCUUUGGUGUUUAUAUUUUUUCCUAGUGACUGGAGCUCCAGCUGACUUGCUCUCCCUCUUGCUCUCUUUCUCUCUCCCUCUCCUCCCUCCUUUCUGAUGUGAUGUCUUGAGCCACUUCCCUCCACCACACUCUUCUGCCAUGAUGUUCAGCUUCACCGCUAGCCUCAAGGAAUGGAGUCAGCCUUCUAUGACUGAGACCUCUGAAAUUGAGCACCCCAAAUUAAAACUUCUCUUCCUAUAUUUGUUCUUGUCGGGUCUUUUGGUCACAGUAGUGAAAAAGCUGACUAAUAUAAGGAAUAUCAGUACUACAAAAUCUUGCCUCAAGAAAUAAUGAAAAUUCUUCAAGAGUUUGCAUGUUGUGUUUCUUUCUGUUCAAAUUUGCCUCUUUUUGAUGUAGAUGUUUCAGGGUGGCAAGUGGCUAGGGAACUCUUAUUCUUCAAUAUUGUAUUACUUAUUAAAAUUACUAAGUAAUUAAAAAGUUAAUUAAGAAAAAUAUAUUUCUUCAUAUAUAUUUAGUUGCUGAGGAAUGAAAAAGAUGGAAGAAAUUUAGAACAGAAGAAUUUUAGGCAGAAAAUUAUUGAAGCUUAUCUAAAUUAUAUAAUAAAGUAAGUGCUCCUAUGUAGAACAUGGACAUCCCCAUUUAGAUUAAAACAGAAACAACCUAGUGUGGUGGUGCACUACUGUGAUUCCAGUGACUUCUGAGGCUCAAGCAACUU